ACUAGUGAUUUNCAGGNUCCGCGGCCUGCUACGGCUCCUUGUNNCNACUUCNCCCCAGUCAUGAANUACUUACNGGGUAACCCGUCCCCCCGAAGGUUANACUANCUACUUCUGGAGCAACCCACUCCCAUGGUGUGACGGGCAGNUGUGUACAAGGCCCGGGAACNUAUUCACCGNGACAUUCUGAUUCACGAUUACUAGCGAUUCCGACUUCNCNCAGUCGAGUUGCAGACUGCGAUCCGGACUACAUCGGUUUUAUGGGAUUAGCUCCACCUCGCGGUUUGGCAACCCUUUGUACCGACCAUUGUAGCACGUGUGUAGCCCAGGCCGUAAGGGCCAUAUGACUUGACGUCAUCCCCACCUUCCUCCGGUUUGCACCGGCAGUCUCUUAGAGUGCCCACCUUUCGUGCUGGACUAAGACAAGGGUUGCGCUCGUACGGGACU
This 444-nucleotide ribosomal RNA is filed under the name uncultured Pectobacterium sp. RNAcentral's name for it is "partial 16S ribosomal RNA". Lineage: Bacteria; Pseudomonadati; Pseudomonadota; Gammaproteobacteria; Enterobacterales; Pectobacteriaceae. The record is from RNAcentral.